UUAGUGACCUUGCAUAUUGACAUCAGCAGUUGCCCCAAUUUUGUAUCUUUUCCAAAAGGAGGAAUUCGUGCCCCCAACCUUUCAUCCUUUACGGUCUUCAAUUGUGAGAGUCUGAGGUCACUACCAGACAAGAUGGAUGUACUCCUUCCUUCUCUUAAUUAUUUUCAUAUACGUCACUGCCAGAGAAUUGAGUCGUUUCCUGAAGGGGGCUUGCCUCCCAAUGUUAAAUAUAUGGAUGUCGAGAGAUGUGACAAACUCUUUGCCAGACGGGCGGGAUGGGGUUUGCAAAAACUCCCAUCUCUUAGAGAAUUUUCAGUCGGUGGCAACUAUGAAGACGUGGAGUCCUUUCCAGAGCCAGGGUUGCUGCCCUCUUGUCUGACUCAACUUCGUAUCUCUGGAUUUCCAAAUAUGAAAUCUUUGGACAAGAAAGGGCUUCAAGACCUCACCUCUCUUCAACAAUUGUGGGUCUGGGGCUGCCCUAAGCUCGAAUACAUUCCAAAAGAGGGGUUGCCUACCUCCCUUUCUAUAAUAGAGAUCGAAGGAUGCCCUUUGUUGAGGAAACAGUGGCAAAGCAAGAAAGGAAAAGAUCAGCGAAAGAUUCCGGACGUCGAUCACAUAUUGAUUGAUUUUGAAGAAUAUAUUGGAUGAGCCAAAAGCCUCGGAAGAGUCCCAUUUUCUAUUAUAAUACCUGUAGAUCAUCUCGAAGGCGGCAAGAACAUAUUCACUUAGGUUCACCUUCCAUUGUUAUAUGCUUAGAAUUGAAAAUUUUUCGCUACUGUCGGCCCUAGUGGGAAGGAAAUGAAUGGCGAAAGAUUCCUAAUGUCGAUCACAUACUGAUUGAUGGGGUGAAUAUAUUGGAUGAGCUAAAAGGCGACAACAACAUAUUCAGCUUUUGCACUUAGACAUUUCAAUUAUUCAACUUGUUCUAUGUUGACCUGUUGAGCUAGCUUGUUCUGUGGUGCGAAAUCAAGAUCAUGGGAAAUUUUGGAACUUCUAGAUUUGCUGAAGGUAAUCAUUGGAAGCAGAUGAUUUUUUGUGACUACUGCAUGGUUCCUGUUAAGAUGGAUGAUGUUUUUGGUAACAAAAAACUACAGCCGGAUGUUAGAGAAAUGGAAAUCUUAUAUCGUUUGUCAUCUAGGGACCCUUUGAAGCUCUCCAAGAGGUGGAAGCUUACCAUAUAUCAGAAUCAUCCUUAAUUCUUACACAUUCACCAUCUAUUCUCGGCCUUGUUGACAUGGUAUGAAUUUCACCCUCAUUCAAGUAGGUGGGCCCCGCUGGUUUUGUAAGUCCUUGUGUGGGUUUUGGUCUGAUUUCUAGUAAGAGAGAAAAAUAGAAGGGUGCUAAAGUGAGAAAAUAGAAAAAUAGAGACCAACCUUCAUUUGUUUUCAGCAAAAGAAGAAUUUGUAUUUCUGUCUUUCGGAGAAUAAUCUCUAUUGUGUAAUAGUGAGAUUUGGGUGUAUUGGGGCUUUGGGUUCUGAGUGAUUUUUUUUUUUUUUUUUUUUCUUCUACUAUUUUGUAUUCCGUCUUUUGAUAGUGAAUUU
Long non-coding RNA from Alnus glutinosa, 1541 nucleotides. RefSeq lists it as uncharacterized. NCBI's taxonomy places the organism in Eukaryota, Viridiplantae, Streptophyta, Magnoliopsida, Fagales, Betulaceae. The record is from RefSeq and is a predicted model, not a curated record. The transcript has 4 exons.